CCCUUUUUUUUUCUUAUCUCUUUUGAUCUUCACUUGGAACCAUACCCUUCACCAUUCUUAAAGUCUCAGACUUUGAUAAGUAAUUCAAGUUUUAGUAUAAGAGUUGACUUGAUUUAGUAAAAUCAAUCCCAGUUCCCCUUCUAGGGGUUGGUUUGUGUGUUUCAUAGUAUUACUGUAACUCGUUGUUAGUUUGUGAGUCUUCUUGUGUGUUAAAAAGGCAAUGGCAUCUUGUCUGAUGAUUGAUACUAUUAUUGUAAUUCGUUGUGAGUUUGGAGUCUUCUUGUGUGUAAAAAAAGCAAUGGGUUCUUGUCUGGUGAUUGAUAUUUGAUAAUUUAAUAAGUUGUCUGUUUCUUCUUCUUGGUUUGGUCUGUGCUAUUGAAUACUAUUACUGUAACUGUUGUUAGUUCAUAGUUUUAUUGAGUGCAGGAAAGGCAAGGGCUUCUUGUUUGGUGAUUUAUAAUCUGGAAGUUGUCUGUUUCUUUCUGCUAAAGAAUAUCAUUUUAGUACAAUUGCUUAUCUUUCUAAUUCCCAAUUCCAUCUCCAUCCCCAUCGUCUGCCUCUCCGUCAUGUCUCUCGGGGCCGUCAUCACCACCGCGGAGGCGCAGGAGAUUCUGUGGAUACGAUGAAGGAGAGUCGGAGAUACGGUGCGGCCGGGAUGUUGGCAGAUUCAUGAUUAUCAUAAUAAUCACCGAGAGAUUCCUAUCGUUAAUUCAUUCCCUUGAGUUGAUGAAUAAUGAAAGUGUAUUCACAAGAUCAAAUGUUCUUUCUCAGGUUCUUUCUUCUUUCUCAAGUUUUUUCAAUUUUUUUUUUUAAGAACCUACUUAAAAAACUUGCAAUGGAGGACACAAAUUUAGGUGUCUCUUAACUAAAGGUUUUAACACAAAUUUAUUACUAAACAAUUGAUUAAGAGACCCUAAUGGGUUCUAGGGAUAAAGAUGCUCUUAGGUAUUUAAGCUUCCAUAUUACGUGUGGGCCUUCUCUUGUCGACACACUUAUCACACUACUAACAGUGCACCUAAUGACCUGAAAAGUCAAACUCAUACAUCAUUAGUUUUUUGUUAAUCAUUUAAUUUGUAUUUAUCUAUUACACAAUUUCAAUUUGGUCAUUGAUUACAUUUGAUCCUCUUUACCCUCCACUUUGAAAGUCUAUGAUCUAAUUCAAAUUAAAGUAUGUAUAUAUAAUAUUUCAAUUAUGUAUAUUUUAAUAUGCAUAUAUUUUCAUUUUGGCUCUUCGAAUGUUCGAAUAUCUUUAGACGUGUGUGACGCGGAAGGGGAGCGGAAACAAAAAGAGGUGUGAAUAAACAGGAAAAACACAUUAUAAAUUUAUAAUAGUUGGCCACUUUGUUCAUAUUUAACAUGUGGUAAGACAUUUCAAUCUCAUACCUAAAAGUGACCAACCUGUGUUACCUUCAUUUUAAAUCUCAACCACAAAACCAAACAGAAUCAAGAGUUGUUGAUUAGUCGUAGUAUAUGUAAUACUCGACUCGGUUCAUACUUCAUAGUCGUUAUCCUUACAAAAAAAUGAAAACCAUAUCUAUCAUCAGAUAAUGUUUUGUGAAUAAUAUUAUAAACGUAAAGGCCACAAACUAUUGUACUAUUUAUAUAUAUAUAGAGAGAGAGAGACCCAAAACAUCACUAGAGAGAAAAGAAAUCCAUGCGCAUAAGCAAACUCUGUUACAUGAACCACCAGACAGACAUAAAGGGAGACAAAAUAUGGAACCCAAAAUAGAAUGUUUUGGUGCAGCUCCACAAUGACGAUAA
Molecule: long non-coding RNA, 1761 nt
Organism: Brassica rapa (field mustard)
Lineage: Eukaryota; Viridiplantae; Streptophyta; Magnoliopsida; Brassicales; Brassicaceae
Source: RefSeq, a predicted model, not a curated record